AGCCCCGGCUAACUACGUGCCAGCAGCCGCGGUAAUACGUAGGGGGCUAGCGUUAUCCGGAUUUACUGGGCGUAAAGGGUGCGUAGGCGGUCUUUCAAGUCAGGAGUGAAAGGCUACGGCUCAACCGGAGUAAGCUCUUGAAACUGGGAGACUUGAGUGCAGGAGAGGAGAGUGGAAUUCCUAGUGUAGCGGUGAAAUGCGUAGAUAUUAGGAGGAACACCAGUUGCGAAGGCGGCUCUCUGGACUGUAACUGACGCUGAGGCACGAAAGCGUGGGGAGCAAACAGGA
Molecule: ribosomal RNA, 288 nt
Filed under: Clostridioides difficile
Lineage: Bacteria; Bacillati; Bacillota; Clostridia; Peptostreptococcales; Peptostreptococcaceae
Description: partial 16S ribosomal RNA
Rfam family: Bacterial small subunit ribosomal RNA
Source: RNAcentral